AUAAUGGGUCAGCGACUUAUAUUCUGUAGCAAGGUUAACCGAAUAGGGGAGCCGAAGGGAAACCGAGUCUUAACUGGGCGUUAAGUUGCAGGGUAUAGACCCGAAACCCGGUGAUCUAGCCAUGGGCAGGUUGAAGGUUGGGUAACACUAACUGGAGGACCGAACCGACUAAUGUUGAAAAAUUAGCGGAUGACUUGUGGCUGGGGGUGAAAGGCCAAUCAAACCGGGAGAUAGCUGGUUCUCCCCGAAAGCUAUUUAGGUAGCGCCUCGUGAAUUCAUCUCCGGGGGUAGAGCACUGUUUCGGCAAGGGGGUCAUCCCGACUUACCAACCCGAUGCAAACUGCGAAUACCGGAGAAUGUUAUCACGGGAGACACACGGCGGGUGCUAACGUCCGUCGUGAAGAGGGAAACAACCCAGACCGCCAGCUAAGGUCCCAAAGUCAUGGUUAAGUGGGAAACGAUGUGGGAAGGCCCAGACAGCCAGGAUGUUGGCUUAGAAGCAGCCAUCAUUUAAAGAAAGCGUAAUAGCUCACUGGUCGAGUCGGCCUGCGCGGAAGAUGUAACGGGGCUAAACCAUGCACCGAAGCUGCGGCAGCGACGCUGAUGCGUUGUUGGGUAGGGGAGCGUUCUGUAAGCCUGCGAAGGUGUGCUGUGAGGCAUGCUGGAGGUAUCAGAAGUGCGAAUGCUGACAUAAGUAACGAUAAAGCGGGUGAAAAGCCCGCUCGCCGGAAGACCAAGGGUUCCUGUCCAACGUU
This 755-nucleotide ribosomal RNA is filed under the name Escherichia coli. RNAcentral's name for it is "partial 23S ribosomal RNA". It matches the Rfam family "Bacterial large subunit ribosomal RNA", at positions 612 to 1366 of the family's 2925-position model. Lineage: Bacteria; Pseudomonadati; Pseudomonadota; Gammaproteobacteria; Enterobacterales; Enterobacteriaceae. The record is from RNAcentral.